This 1812-nucleotide long non-coding RNA is filed under the name Triticum aestivum (bread wheat). Its description in RNAcentral is "long non-coding RNA (TAES_LNC028484)". The record is from RNAcentral. Lineage: Eukaryota; Viridiplantae; Streptophyta; Magnoliopsida; Poales; Poaceae.
CUGCUCGGUCGGCACGCAUUAAUUUCCUUGUACGAUUUGUUUUUGGCUGUUCACCUGUCCUGGUGUCUUUUUCAAAGCACUGGCAAAAAUGAAAGAAGCGGUGGCAAUAUUUAACCGAAAAACCAUGGCGAAAUUUGAAACUCGACGUGGAUCUUCAUGCACCAGCUUGUUGCCAGUGGAAGUGAAAAGGUGGGUGAUAGGCGCCGGUGCGCCGGCGGAAACUUUUGGCCAGUCGGUUUUAAACCAUUAGAUUAAUGCGCUGAUGGCCCUUAGAUAAUCAUAGCAUAAAGUCAACGUCAACGUCUCCACCCACUGAUUCUCCCUACCCGGAAAAAGUGGAUCGUGAACAAAGUGCAGCCCGCACGCACCAACUGAUGUGCCACCGGGCACGCGCCCGCGGCUCCAGCACCGCUAGUCACCAUCGUCGCCGCCGGGUUCGCAUCACCUUGUCGCGCAGGUCGCAAACAAAAAUCACUGCCGCCACGCUUCACGGCCAGCAACGCCCCCUCCAUUGAUGCCGCUCGCCGGACCUCGCAGCAGGUUUCAAUCUCCCGUCGUUGAAGCACACAUCAUCUCCAGUCCAGCAUACAUCACCGUCGGCUACAACUCCGAGUGCUCGUGCUUGCAGCCUCGCCGGCGACCGGCGCCUCUGGUUGUAGCUCCGGUGUAGACGGCUUGCAGCACUCGUGCAUGCGGUUGCAGCUUCCCAGUACAUGGUUGAAGCUUUUUAAAAAGCCGGUUCCUCAUCUAGCAAAGAAAUUGAAAGCAACAAAAAUCUUCAGUUAGUUGAUUGAAGCAGAAAAAAAUGUCGGUUCCAGCAAAAUCGAAAGACGUUGGUAGCAAAAUUUUAGGCUGGUUACAGCAAAAUACAAAACAAAACAAGGUGGUAGCAAAAAAUUCUGAUGCUUCUAGCAAAAAAAGAUGGGUGGUUGAAGCAAACUUUCUCACCGGCUGCACCAAAAAUUGCAAUCCCAGCAAAAAAAUACUUCUGUACUCGCAUGCAUGAAAAUCGCUGGUUCCAGCAAAAAUGCUUAAAGGUUCCAGCAAAAACAAUGGCUGGUAGACGCAAAAAAAACCUGCUGAAGGCCAUGGCUGUUGGUUCCAACAUUUUGCUGCCACGGUUGUAGUACCUCCUGUCGCCCGUUCCAGCAAAAAAACUGGCCGGUUCCAGCAUCGUCGGCGUCGUAGCUCCCGGUCGCCGCCAUGGUUGCAGCUCCACGCGCCACCGGAUGUAGCUUCUGUCGUUGCGGCUGUAGCGCCAAGCGCCGCCGUUCGCAGUCCCCCCCGCCACCAGGUUGUACCUUCCCCGAUUCACCUCUCCCCCUUCCUCCGUCUACUCUACAGCAGCGCCCCGGCACCUCCCGUGCAGCAGCGCCGAGCAGCCCCAUGCACCCUAGUCUUCCCUGCCACGGCGCCCAUGGCCGUGCCGCACAGGUUGGGUAGCGAGAGCGGGAUGGAUGUCGCCCAUGGCUGUCUACCAAGAAAAAGGAUAAGGAAUAGCUGGUUCUGAAGAGAUAAGGUAGGAGUGGUUUGAGCGGUGAGUGGGUCCUACCAACACGUGGCACUUGCGGGAGCUAGCUGUGGCCGUAUGAUGAAGCUUGAUCGUACGCCUCGCACGCGACCGGCGCGACGUUCGGCCGGCUCGCCGAUGGCAAAUAUUUCCCAAGAGAAAAGAAAGGAAAGAAACAAACGCACGCUCUUCGCCAAAAAAAAAAGAAAAAAAAAAGAAGAAACAAACGCACGCAUGCGUUCGUGACAUUUGGUCACAGUUUUGAAGAUGGGUUUGGUGGAGUUCACGUCGUUGGAAUGGAG